CAAAUUAUGCAGCCCAAUGUUAAUACUCCGAUUCAUAAAAUGGAGCACACAAGUCUUGCACUUCAAAAAUAUGAUAUUUAUCUGCUUUUACUGCAGAGAACAACAAUCUUGGAUGUUGACUCUAGCAGUGAGUCCAAUUGACUUGCAUAAGAAUGCAAGUUGAAAAAUCAAACAGAAAGCCCGGUUAUUGAAACUUCAAUAGGAAAGUUAAGUUCAAAGGCGUUCCUCCACUCCAGUGGUGGGUUGAAGGCAGGGAUAGCAGAGUGGCAUAAAAGAUGACAGUCUGGAACUGGGAGGAUCACUGCCACUGUCAGUUUGGAGUUUAGUUGCUACAAGGUGCAUUCCCAUUCAUGGCUAGGGAACAGUUGAACAACUAUGGCACUCAGACUUCCAACAUGAAAUGCAGAUACACGACUGUGCGAGGCGAAGACGGCUGCGCUCUUCCACCAUGCCAUGCACGAGACUGCACCGCAUGGAUUAUUAUGAGAAUGAGUUUGCAGUAAAACCACAGCCAAAGUUUUUGAAUGGGGCCUUGCAACAGACUCACGGAAAGCAACAGGAGUGGCACGAACCAGGGAAUGGAGUGGAAGGAGUCGUGGAACAGCAACCAAGCGAGUGAAGCCACCGAUAUCGAACUGGUGAAGUCAAUGAGGAAGGAUGAUGCUCCAUCACAAGAAGGAGCAUGGCUGCCAGAUAAGUGAAACGCAGCAACAAGAAAUGCAGGAGCAGGCUGCAGAUGGCGAUGAUGGUGGUGACGGGGUGAGUUUCAAAGGGUGAAGUCAACUUCCCCUGGUAUUUUACUUUGAUGAAGUCGACCAGGAUAGAGACAAUGGAGGUUAAAUCCAUGACGCCAUGAGGGAUGAAGGCAGGGACAUCAUUUGGGGUUCUUUUUAUGGACAGUGGCCCUCAAAAGAAAUUGGGAUCUAUUUGUUAUUGAAGAGAUCAAAGAUAAUCUCAAAAAUUGUUACAAGGAGUAGAAUAAUCGUUUCUAGUAGCCAUAUGAAGCAUAGAAAUUUUUCUUGAGGUUAAAGCUUCUGACCUCUUUGAAAACAUUGCGAGCGUUGCAGGUUUCCUUCUUUUUCUGGUGAAUCUCUUUGUAGCUUUCUGUUUGGCCCUCUGAUCAACAUGUGCCAUUUUACAUUCUUUGCUAGUAUACUAUGGUUUUGCUCAUA
Eucalyptus grandis is the source of this 1172-nucleotide long non-coding RNA. RefSeq lists it as uncharacterized. The transcript is spliced from 3 exons. NCBI's taxonomy places the organism in Eukaryota, Viridiplantae, Streptophyta, Magnoliopsida, Myrtales, Myrtaceae. The record is from RefSeq and is a predicted model, not a curated record.